Molecule: RNA transcript, 1187 nt
Organism: Manihot esculenta (cassava)
Lineage: Eukaryota; Viridiplantae; Streptophyta; Magnoliopsida; Malpighiales; Euphorbiaceae
Gene name: V-type proton ATPase subunit c2
Exons: 4
Source: RefSeq, a predicted model, not a curated record
CCUGCUCUCCCUGACCUAUUGUCUAUCUCUGUCCCAUCUCAAACCGACGGUACAUGUCUGUUAGAGUGUGAAAGCGAGGAAGGAAGAGCGUUCCCGGAGUCGAAACCCUUACCUCCUUCUCUCUUGUGAACGAAUCUGUGAUUAAAUUCCCAGUUUCUGAUGGCCUCUGGAUUUAGUGGCGAUGAAACAGCGCCUUUCUUCGGCUUCCUUGGCGCUGCUGCUGCUCUUGUUUUCUCUUGUAUGGGAGCUGCCUAUGGGACUGCCAAGAGCGGUGUUGGAGUAGCGUCAAUGGGCGUGAUGAGACCGGAACUCGUCAUGAAAUCAAUAGUUCCAGUUGUUAUGGCUGGAGUUCUCGGUAUCUAUGGUUUGAUUAUUGCCGUUAUUAUUAGCACUGGGAUUAACCCUAAAGCCAAAUCAUAUUACCUCUUUGAUGGUUAUGCUCACCUUUCAUCGGGUCUGGCUUGUGGUCUCGCUGGCCUUUCUGCUGGUAUGGCUAUUGGUAUUGUUGGCGAUGCUGGUGUUAGAGCUAAUGCGCAGCAGCCAAAGCUUUUUGUUGGUAUGAUUCUCAUUCUAAUCUUUGCUGAGGCACUGGCUCUGUAUGGACUCAUUGUUGGCAUCAUCCUCUCUUCCCGAGCUGGCCAAUCCAGAGCUGAAUAGAAUGCGUGGUUGUUGGCAUCACUGGUUACUCCGAGGUUGGUGAUGGUAGUAAAGAGUGUGCAGUAGUUCAAGAUUGGAAAACUACUGGGCACGGUAUUUGGUAACCUACUCCGAAAUUGUCUUCUUGGUUUAUGGUCAUCAGCUAGUAUUUUUGGUUUUCAAUAUCAUCGUGGCUUCAUAAAAGCACAUUGUCAUUGAUAAGAAAUGCAAAGAGUCUCAAUCCCAAAUAUUUAAGCGCUGCGAGUUGAAUAAUGAUAUCACUGCUGCUCGACAAUAAGUAUUUUGGAAGUGUCUUCCUAGAUGGAUGCUCUUUUUUAAUUAAGCAAUAUUUGCUGUUUGUGGAUAUUAUUUUUCUCUCAUUAUUUCCUGUAUUUGGUACCUGUUUAAGUUGUAGUAUUUCAUAUGAUUUGGUUACACGAUGCUAGAAAGUGAGAGCAUAUAGUCUCUCAAGUUCGGAGUAGUAUGAUUAUGUUUAUUUUACUGUCCAGAGCAACACAUUACCGUGAUCUAUAUGAUGUAUUGUGGAGCUA